CUUAGCUCAGCUUACCAUCCGCAGACAGAUGGGCAGACCGAACGAGUGAACCAAUGCCUCGAAGCUUACUUGAGGUGUGCUGUGCAUUCCUGUCCUGGGAAUUGGUCCAAGUGGUUGGCGCUCGCGGAGUACUGGUAUAACACCUCGUUUCAUUCGUCGCUGGGCAGGACACCGUUCGAAGUGAUCUACGGACACCUUCCGAGGGAGUUUGGAGUUACUCAAGUGGAUACGUGCACGGUCCCAGACCUCGCGGCUUGGCUUCAGGAACGGCAGGUCAUGAUGGAACUCCUUCAGCAACAGCUGAAGAGAGCGCAGGACAGAAUGAAGACGCAAGCUGACCGGAAACGCACAGACAGGGAAUUUGCAGUGGGUGAUGCGGUGCUACUCAAGCUGCAACCGUUCAUCCAAACGUCUGUUGCACAGCGACCGCAUCAAAAGCUGGCAUUCCGCUACUAUGGUCCUUACCGAGUGCUAGCUCGGGUGGGGGCUGUCGCCUACAAGCUCCAGAUGCCGGUGGGCAGCAAGAUACAUCCGGUGGUACAUGUGUCGCAACUCAAGAAGGCGGAAGGAGCUACGGUACCUAUCAAUUCUGACCUCCCUCCUGAGAAUUCUAUCUUGCAGGCAGAGCACACACCCGUCGCGGUCCUGGAAAGCAGACUGGUACAAGUGGCGGGGGCGCCGCGGCAGCGGAUCCGCGUACAGUGGAGUCAACUGCCGGUUUCCUUGUCCACCUGGGAAGACCCGGAUGCUCUGCAACAACGGUUUCCUGCUUCUCCGCCUUGGGGACAAGUCGGCACGCAAGAGGGGGCGAUUGUCACGUAUGACACCAAGGCCCCAGCUGACGCUGCGAUGGAAGAGGCGACGGGCGAA
RNAcentral lists this ribosomal RNA (870 nucleotides) under Triticum aestivum (bread wheat). RNAcentral's name for it is "partial small subunit ribosomal RNA". The record is from RNAcentral. Lineage: Eukaryota; Viridiplantae; Streptophyta; Magnoliopsida; Poales; Poaceae.